CUUAGCAGGUCUUAAAAUAAGGUAAACACAAUGUCAGAUGUACAGCACGUGACAUAUUAAGCAAAAAUAAAGCCAGAAUGGAGGAGCCAUGUGUGAAAAACUGACUAUACCCUCACUGCUUCCACAGGAAUUAAGAGGCUGGCGCUGCAAAUAAAAUGCCCUUGAUUAAUUGAUCAUGAUGUGACCAUCUCUACAAAAGCUGAAGUUUUAGCAAUUUGGUGGUCUGAAACAUUCAGGUGUGUGUAAACACAAUGCCAAAGAGGAACGACAUAGCAAUGCUCUUAGAGAAGCAAUUAUUGCUGUCCAACAAAC
Molecule: non-coding RNA, 312 nt
Organism: Pelobates cultripes (western spadefoot toad)
Lineage: Eukaryota; Metazoa; Chordata; Amphibia; Anura; Pelobatidae
Source: the annotation of a GenBank genome assembly